This 803-nucleotide ribosomal RNA is filed under the name uncultured soil bacterium. RNAcentral describes it as "partial 16S ribosomal RNA". It matches the Rfam family "Bacterial small subunit ribosomal RNA", at positions 8 to 796 of the family's 1533-position model. The record is from RNAcentral.
AGAGUUUGAUCCUGGCUCAGGAUAAACGCUGGCGGCGUGCUUUACCAAUGCGAGUCGGACGCGCCGUCCUACGGGGCGGCGAGUGGCGGCCGGGUGCGUAACACGUGGGUGACCUGACCAGGCGUGGGGGAUACCCGCCCGAAAGGGCGGCUAAUACCGCAUGCGCUCCCCCCUCGAGUGGGGGGAGCAAAGCCCCGGCCCGAGGAGGGCGGGGGCGCGUUUGGAGGGGCCCGCGGCCUAUCAGCUAGUCGGUGGGGUAACGGCCUACCGAGGCGGUGACGGGUAGCCGGUCUGAGAGGACGGACGGCCACACUGGGACUGAGACAUGGUCCAGAGCCCUACGGGGUUUAGCAUGGAGGAAUCUUGCGCAACGGGGGCAACCCCGGCGCAGCAACGCCGCGUGGGGGAGGAAGGCCUUCGGGUCGUAAACCCCUGUUGUCCGGGAAGAAGUACCUCGGGGGGGAGCCCCGGGGGAAGACGGUACCGGACGAGGAAGCCCCGGCUAACUACGUGCCAGCAGCCGCGGUAAUACGUAGGGGGCGAGCGUUAUCCGGAUUCAUUGGGCGUAAAGGGCGCGUAGGCGGCCCCCAGCAGUGGCGCGUGGAAUCUCCCGGCUCACCCGGGAGGGGCCGUGCCAGACGGGGGGGCUGGAGGCGGGUAGAGGGUCGCGGAACGGGCGGAGUAGGGGUGAAAUCCGUAGAGACCGUCCGGAACACCGAUGGCGGAGGCAGCGACCUGGGCCCGUCCUGACGCUGAGGCGCGAAAGCGUGGGGAGCGAACGGAAUUAGAUACCCCGGUAGUCC